AGACCAAUCUAUAGAUAUAUGGAAAAGUAUUAUUAACUUCUUCUUGAAUUUUUUUUUUCCUCUCUCAGCUUUUGCCUUCAUCAGAGCUCCCGUGGAUCACUCUGACCACUCUUACCGUUGUUCACUCCGGCUGCGACAUCACUUCGGCUGCUCGACAUCCUUCUCGGAAUUCUGAUUGAAGCCUAAUGGAUAAGCCGACUGAUCCUCCAAAGCGCCCAAUCACUCCAUUCAUUUUCUUUUGCCAAGAACAAUCAAUGGAGUUAAAAAAAACCCAAAUGAAAGUAGACGUGAAGGAUAUUGGGGACAAAUGGAAUCAACUUCCUG
Molecule: non-coding RNA, 324 nt
Organism: Camellia sinensis
Lineage: Eukaryota; Viridiplantae; Streptophyta; Magnoliopsida; Ericales; Theaceae
Source: RefSeq, a predicted model, not a curated record